GGUCUUGAAGACACUGCAGUUGGAGCGCAAGCUGUUCUGCUUCGAUCCGUAGGAGAAUCCCAGGGUCGACCAUCGUCGUCCCCGUCGACGGCAUAGUCCGGUUCCUCGAGUUGUUCGAGGUGCUCAAGCUUGAUUCCAAGACCUCAGAGGCCUCUGUCAACAGAAAUCAGAGCUCAAUUAUUGUUCCUUCAGGAAGUUCUGACGAAGAAGGAUCGACAGCAUUUCAGAAUGUUUUACAAGAGAUACAUGAAGAGACCUCAUGACUGUUCAGGAUACUAGAUUAGGUAAAAGUUUGAUAAGUGUUGCACCACCAACAGCAACAUAUAGAACCUCCAGAAUGUCGGACAGGGCCUUCAGAUGAUGUUAGAGCUGGAUUCAUAUCAGGCAACAGUGCCCAAUUAGCCUCUGGCACAGUUGAAUGGUCACGGACUUGUUGACAUGCUCACACAUGAUGAUGUUGGAGGCAUGGGGAUGUCUAAGACGAUCAAUCAGGAUAGAUCAGAAGAGGUUUCUCUUUGAUCUGGGGAGCAACAACAGGGGUCAUUUCCUGAGGAUUUCUGAGGCAGAUGGAGAACUCAAACCCUUGCUAGUUCCAUAGUUUGACCUCUAAAUCCGUUCCAUGAUUCCGCUUUCGCAUGCCUAUUGCUGGAGCUGAUCGCUCAUCAAUUAUCCCUCCCUUGUCUGGUCCGAGGCAGUUCGAUGAAAUGAUUGGCCAUUUCGUGGAGAUUACCAGGGAUAGACCGGAAGGAAUUGAUAAGCAGAUAAGAUUUUCUCAAGGCAGUUGAGGAAAUCUCUCAGCAGUUGAGAAGCAGAUAAGAUUUCCUCAAGGCAGUUGAGGAAAUCUCUUGAGAAAAAUCCUCCAUGCUGAAUAUGUAUAACCUCCCUACUGAGUGUGUAUAAAUGACUGUCAAGAACUCACUAUCAAAAUGUAUUAGGCAAUUAUAUCUUAUACAUUUCAUAGUUUCUUCUACAA
Long non-coding RNA from Musa acuminata AAA Group (dessert banana), 973 nucleotides. RefSeq lists it as uncharacterized. The transcript is spliced from 2 exons. The record is from RefSeq and is a predicted model, not a curated record. NCBI's taxonomy places the organism in Eukaryota, Viridiplantae, Streptophyta, Magnoliopsida, Zingiberales, Musaceae.